RNAcentral lists this ribosomal RNA (878 nucleotides) under uncultured archaeon. Its description in RNAcentral is "bacterial SSU rRNA". It matches the Rfam family "Archaeal small subunit ribosomal RNA", at positions 7 to 887 of the family's 1478-position model. The record is from RNAcentral.
GUUGAUCCUGCCGGAGGUUACUGCUAUCGGGGUUCGAUUAAGCCAUGCGAGUCAAAUGUUCUUCGUGAACAUGGCGAACUGCUCAGUAACACGUGGAUAAUCUACCCUUAGGUCUGGAAUAACCCCGGGAAUCUGGGGAUAAUACCGGAUAGAUCAUAGAUGCUGGAAUGCCCUAUGUUCUAAAGCUCCGGCGCCUAAGGAUGAGUCUGCGGUCUAUCAGGUUGUAGUGGGUGUAACGUACCUACUAGCCGACGACGGAUACGGGUUGUGAGAGCAAGAGCCCGGAGAUGGAUUCUGAGACACGAAUCCAGGCCCUACGGGGUGCAGCAGGCGCGAACACUUUACAAUGCGGGAAACCGCGAUAAGGGAACCCCGAGUGCCAGCACCAAGUGUUGGCUGUCCAGAUGAUUAAAUCUCAUUUGUUAGCAAGGGCCGGGCAAGACCGGUGCCAGCCGCCGCGGUAACACCGGCGGCCCGAGUGGUAGCCGUUAUUAUUGGGUUUAAAGGGUCCGUAGCCGGCUUAUUAAGUCUCUUGGGAAAUCUGGCGACUCAAUCGUCAGGCGUUCAAGGGAUACUGGUAGGCUUGGGACCGGGAGAGGUGGGAGGUACUCCAGGGGUAAGGGUGAAAUCUCGUAAUCCUUGGGGGACCACCGAUGGCGAAGGCAUCCCUCCAGAACGGGUCCGACGGUGAGGGACGAAAGCUGGGGGCACGAACCGGAUUAGAUACCCGGGUAGUCCCAGCCGUAAACGAUGCUCGCUAGGUGUCAGGUGCGGUGCGACCGCAUCUGGUGCCGUAGUGAAAACUUGAAGCGAGUCACCUGGGAAGUACGGUCGCAAGGCUGAAACUUAAAGGAAUUGGCGGGGGAGCACCACAACGG